UGCAAGAGCCUUUGGCCCCAUGGAGGGACUGCUGGCUGCCGGCUUCUUCACUUCAGCUCCUUCUGGAGAUGACCAAGUCUGUGGUGGUGCCUGAAGAUUUAAGCAAGGCCCAGGUCAUGCUGGGUUUCAUGGGGAGAUGAUGGUUCAUCAGGACAAAGACAAAAAUUCCUUAAAAUUAUCUCAAAAGAGUGAAGAAUAUCAGAAAAUGUUAACAGACUGGAUAAAAAUGUAGAUAUUCAGGAAAGUCUAAAACCAUUCAUAAUAAGCUCAAAAAUUAAAAGAAGAAAUAAACAAUCUCAAUGAACCUAGUAAAGCCACAUCCACAAGCAUAGGCCAAGUCACACAUGACAGAGAAUGACAGAUCUGAUCCCUGUCUACAGCCAGGGAAGUCUGACACCCUCGCCUGGCCCCCUUCUUGAUAGUAACACUGUGGGGGGCAGAGAGGGGUGACUUGGACUAGGAUACGUAAAGUGAAUCCGGAAAAGAGACAACCUGGAUGAUCAAGCAGGAACUGAUUUAAAGGAAUUGAUGUCUGCUGCUAAGAGUAUGAAGCCCUGAGGGCUGAGACCACAUCUGCCUGGUUUUCUGUGGCAGCUGCAGCAUCAACACUGGCUCUUCGAAGAGUAGCAGCUGAUGAACAUUACUCCGGCAAACAAUUUUCUCUGCUAGGAACUGGAUAAAUGCAAAGGAAGGAGGGGAGAGUGUGUCAGACGGGGACCCUGCC
Homo sapiens (human) is the source of this 724-nucleotide long non-coding RNA. Ensembl annotates it as long intergenic non-protein coding RNA 2376. The record is from Ensembl. NCBI's taxonomy places the organism in Eukaryota, Metazoa, Chordata, Mammalia, Primates, Hominidae.